Small nucleolar RNA from Chanos chanos (milkfish), 75 nucleotides. RefSeq annotates it as small nucleolar RNA SNORD59. The transcript has a single exon. Lineage: Eukaryota; Metazoa; Chordata; Actinopteri; Gonorynchiformes; Chanidae. The record is from RefSeq and is a predicted model, not a curated record.
UCCUCUGUGAUGAUUGAACAGUAAGACUUUCGUUCUUCUGAGUUUUCUGAAGCCAAUCUUUCUGUUCUGAGAGGA